AACAAGAAAAAAAUUAAAAUAUUAUUUUUGAAUUAUGUAGAGGCAUACCAUUUGUUUGUAUUUAACUGUCUUCUCAAAUAUACAUUAAACAGAAAUACACAGAUGAUGAAUAGAAGAUCGAUGUUAUGGAUUUUUUCAAUGUUACAAGUAUACAUACUUUGGAGAAUAAUAAUUGUUCGGGAUGGUAACAGGAUUGUUCCUGUACUUCAGAGAUAACGAGACAAGUCUGAUACAUAUAUUAAUAGAAGUAUGCAUUUAUGCUGAUUUCCAAAUGAUGAUGUCUUUAAAAAUAUAAAUAUAGGAACUUCCAAGAAUUCAGAACGAUGUGUCUAUCCAGAUUUUUUGUGUCUGCAAUGGAUCAUGCUGUGCAUUUUCUGUGUUUAGAACUUAAGAUGGAUCGCCUCCAAUGCAUACUAUAGGAGUACCUUUAACUGGAACUAACCUAUGAAGCACAAUUAACGAAGAUGAAAUAUCUGAGCAUGAACAUUAUAAUGAUAUAGAAAACAAAUUGCCUUUGUACCUUUGAGAAAAAAUGAAAUGUCCGUGUCAAUAGUUAAAACUUAAUUUUAGCUAUGUAUGAUUUUCUUUAUAUUGACUUUUAAUCAAAAGUAUUUCUUGUAGAUUACUUUAUAUAAUUUUUUAUCAACUGUUUGAAACUUACAACAGAAGUUUUUAUACAACUUAUGAUGAUCAAUAUAAUAUGUAG
Long non-coding RNA from Ctenocephalides felis (cat flea), 706 nucleotides. RefSeq lists it as uncharacterized. NCBI's taxonomy places the organism in Eukaryota, Metazoa, Arthropoda, Insecta, Siphonaptera, Pulicidae. The record is from RefSeq and is a predicted model, not a curated record. The transcript has 3 exons.